GACGAACGCUGGCGGCGUGCCUAAUACAUGCAAGUCGAGCGGAGUUAGAGAAGCUUGCUUCUCUAACUUAGCGGCGGACGGGUGAGUAACACGUGGGCAAUCUGCCCGUAAGACUGGGAUAACUCCGGGAAACCGGGGCUAAUACCGGAUAAUCCUGACUCUCUCCUGAGAGUCAGUUGAAAGAUGGUUUCGGCUAUCACUUACGGAUGAGCCCGCGGCGCAUUAGCUAGUUGGUAGGGUAAUGGCCUACCAAGGCGACGACGCGUAGCCGACCUGAGAGGGUGAUCGGCCACACUGGGACUGAGACACGGCCCAGACUCCUACGGGAGGCAGCAGUAGGGAAUCUUCCGCAAUGGACGAAAGUCUGACGGAGCAACGCCGCGUGAGUGAAGAAGGUUUUCGGAUCGUAAAACUCUGUUGUUAGGGAAGAACACGUACGAGAGUAACUGCUCGUACCUUGACGGUACCUAACCAGAAAGCCACGGCUAACUACGUG
Molecule: ribosomal RNA, 496 nt
Filed under: uncultured bacterium
Lineage: Bacteria
Description: bacterial SSU rRNA
Rfam family: Bacterial small subunit ribosomal RNA
Source: RNAcentral